CACACUCAACUUGCACACAUCAUAACUACCAAACCAGAGAUCCAAAAUUCACAAACUAUACAUCAAAAUAACCAGCAAGGAGUCAAGAAUUAGCAUGUGAAAUUUCAUUCAAUUUGGACAAUGUAUGAGUAUUUCAUGUUAAAAAUGGUGAAACAUACAAAAAAUGCACAUAUGACAAAGAUCCCUAGACAAAAGCAAAAAUC
This 203-nucleotide long non-coding RNA is filed under the name Lathyrus oleraceus (garden pea). RNAcentral's name for it is "Pisum sativum (pea) long non-coding RNA (PSAT_LNC026638)". Lineage: Eukaryota; Viridiplantae; Streptophyta; Magnoliopsida; Fabales; Fabaceae. The record is from RNAcentral.